UUAAAAGCCGAGUACUCUACCAUUGAGUUAGCAACCC
RNAcentral lists this transfer RNA (37 nucleotides) under Aristolochia gigantea. Its description in RNAcentral is "partial tRNA-Lys". Lineage: Eukaryota; Viridiplantae; Streptophyta; Magnoliopsida; Piperales; Aristolochiaceae. The record is from RNAcentral. RNAcentral also lists the same sequence under 40 other names.